RNAcentral lists this ribosomal RNA (492 nucleotides) under uncultured bacterium. RNAcentral describes it as "partial 16S ribosomal RNA". It matches the Rfam family "Bacterial small subunit ribosomal RNA", at positions 29 to 507 of the family's 1533-position model. The record is from RNAcentral.
AGUGAACGCUGGCGGUAGGCCUAACACAUGCAAGUCGAACGGCAGCGCAGUAAAAGCUUGCUCUUACGGGUGGCGAGUGGCGGACGGGUGAGGAAUACAUCGGAAUCUCCUUUUUCGUGGGGGAUCACGUAGGGAAACUUACGCUAAUCCCGCAUACGACCUACGGGUGAAAGCAGGGGAUCUUCGGACCUUUCGCGAUUGAAUGAGCCGAUGUCGGAUUAGCUAGUUGGCGGGGUAAAGGCCCACCAAGGCGACGAUCCGUAGCUGGUCUGAGAGGAUGAUCAGCCACACUGGAACUGAGACACGGUCCAGACUCCUACGGGAGGCAGCAGUGGGGAAUAUUGGACAAUGGGCGCAAGCCUGAUCCAGCCAUACCGCGUGGGUGAAGAAGGCCUUCGGGUUGUAAAGCCCUUUUGUUGGGAAAGAAAAGCAGCAGGUUAAUACCCGGCUGUUCUGACGGUACCCAAAGAAUAAGCACCGGCUAACUUCGUG